RNAcentral lists this ribosomal RNA (288 nucleotides) under uncultured Pseudomonas sp. RNAcentral describes it as "partial 16S ribosomal RNA". It matches the Rfam family "Bacterial small subunit ribosomal RNA", at positions 1093 to 1382 of the family's 1533-position model. Lineage: Bacteria; Pseudomonadati; Pseudomonadota; Gammaproteobacteria; Pseudomonadales; Pseudomonadaceae. The record is from RNAcentral.
CGAGCGCAACCCUUGUCCUUAGUUACCAGCACGUUAUGUGGGCACUCUAAGGAGACUGCCGGUGACAACCGGAGGAAGGUGGGGAUGACGUCAAGUCAUCAUGGCCCUUACGGCCUGGGCUACACACGUGCUACAAUGGUCGGUACAAAGGGUUGCCAAGCCGCGAGGUGGAGCUAAUCCCAUAAAACCGAUCGUAGUCCGGAUCGCAGUCUGCAACUCGACUGCGUGAAGUCGGAAUCGCUAGUAAUCGUGAAUCAGAAUGUCACGGUGAAUACGUUCCCGGGCCUU